This is a non-coding RNA of Danionella cerebrum, 76 nucleotides long. The record is from the annotation of a GenBank genome assembly. NCBI's taxonomy places the organism in Eukaryota, Metazoa, Chordata, Actinopteri, Cypriniformes, Danionidae.
GCUUUCCUGUGGCUCAGUCAGUUGAGCAUUACGCUAGCAGUGCAAAGGUGUUUGGGUUCAAACCCCAGGAAAAGCG